AUAAAUAGAAGUGUGAGAGUAGAAAGGGGAGGCGGAGUUGUGGCUGCGGCGGCGUGGGGUCCUCUCUCUUUCUACGUUCAAAUUCUCAAAAUCUCCCAAUUCUCCCUCGUUCUUCCACCGCUCGCUCGCUCUUCGCGCCCAGCUCUUAGUUCUGUGGUGUAUGCUCAUAUGUGAAUUCAUUUCAUCGAAAUGUCUCUCCUCAGUAGAUUCUUUUACAGAAGACCCCCGGAUGGGUUGCUGGAAUUUGUUGAACGAGUAUAUAUUUUUGACUCGUGCUUUUCUACUGAAGUAUUGCCUGAUGAUAUGUACCAAAUAUAUCUGCACGAAAUCAUAAACGAAUUACAUGAAGAAUUCCCCGAGUCCUCUUUUCUUGCUUUUAAUUUUCGUGAAGGGGAGAAACGGAGCCAAUUUUCACAAAUGUUGUGCGAGUAUGAUGUCACUGUGAUGGAUUAUCCUCGACAAUAUGAAGGUUGCCCGCUUCUACCGCUGUCGUUAAUACAGCACUUCCUCCAUGUUUGUGAAAGUUGGCUUCUGCUAGGUAACCAACAAAAUGUCAUUCUUCUCCACUGUGAGAGGGGAGGUUGGUCACUGUUAGCAUUCCUUUUGGCUAGCUUUUUGAUAUUUAGAAAACUGCACAGUGGUGAGAGGAAAACUCUUGAAAUUGUUCAUCGAGAAGCUCCCAAAGGGUUUUUGCAGCUCUUGUCACCAUUAAAUCCAUUCCCAUCUCAGCUCCGCUACUUGCAAUAUGUUGCAAGGAGAAAUAUAGUCUCUGAGUGGCCACCACCCGAGCGAGCGCUUUCUUUAGAUUGUGUAAUUCUUCGUGGCAUUCCGGGUUUUGAUUCUCAGAAUGGCUGCAGACCAGUUGUUCGUAUUUUUGGGAGGAAUCUUUUUAGUAAGGGUGGGCUUUCCACGCAGAUGAUUUUCUCUAUGCCCAAGAAGAACAAGGCCCUCCGUCACUACCAUCAGGCAGAGUGUGAUGUGAUUAAAAUAGACGUUCAGUGUUUGGUUCAAGGAGAUGUAGUGUUGGAGUGUUCACAUUUGGAACCAGAACAAGAAAGGGAAGUUAUGAUGUUUCGUAUUAUGUUCAAUACAGCGUUUAUUCGAUCAAACAUACUGAUGCUAACCUCUGAAAAUUUGGACAUUCUUUGGGAUUCAAAGGAGCGUUAUCCAAAAGGCUUUCGAGCUGAGGUUCUGUUUGGAGAGAUGGAAAGCAUCUCCCCUCCAAGGGCUCCAACCACAAUUUUGAAUGGUGAAGAGAAAGGUGGAUUACCAAUUGAAGCUUUUUCCAGGGUUCAAGAACUUUUUAGUGGUGUUGAGUGGAUUGAUAACAAUGAUGAUGCUGCCUUGUGGCUACUCAAGAAUCUUUCUGCCUUGAGUGAUGUGAAGGAAUUGUCAAGAUUGCAAAAUAAAACAAGUUCAUACUCCUCACCAGUGGAUUCUGAAGAGGAAAAUAAUACAUCUAGCACUGCCGAUAGUUUAGAUGAAGUAUUUGAUACCAUUACAAGGCCUGUGGUUGAUUCAACUUCUACCAAUUUUACAAUUCCAGCUACGGUACAUUCUUCUGAAUUAUUGUCGGACAAGAUUGGUGCUAAUGAAGUGAAUAUUUCAUCAGAGUCUCCUCAACUUUCUGAUGAAUUUCAAGAUGAGAUAUCUUCGAAUAAAGAACCUCCAUUAACUUCUGUUGGCUCCUCAACCCCUCCUAUAAGUUCUUUGAUGUCAUCGCCACUGUUACCUCCAUCUAAUCUACCAUCUACUAAUGCUAGUGGGGAACUUGUCUCAAAUAAAAUGACACCCACUGAUGAAGUAAUUCCUCCUCCACCACCACCGCCGCCGCCACCUUUUUCCCUGUCUCAUAAUGAACCUCAUGUAGAAACUUCCAUGAGUUCAAAUUUGACUACCAUAACAAUGCAUGGGAGACCCCCUCCACCACCUCCACCUCCACCACCUCCACCUCAAUAUACUACCGGUACCAAUCCUGUUGAAGCCUCUUUGACUCAUUCACUGUCGCUUGUUCCUAAAACUUCGGGUGCUCCUCCACCCCCACCUCCCCCUCCCCCUCCCCCUCCACAAGUUGUUGGUCCACCUCCACCUAUUUCAAAUUCCUCCAGUUCUCCACUUCCUCCUCCACCUCCACCUCCGCCUCCAGUUCCAAAAUCUUUUGGUACUGGAGGUGGAGGUGGAGGACCUCCACCUCCCCCUCUUCUAAAAUCUUCUAGUGCUCCUCCACCUCCACCUCCACCUCCGCCUCCAAUUCCAAAACUUUCUGGUGCUCCUCCACCUCCACCUCCACCUCCAAAACUUUCUGGUGCUCCUCCACCUCCACCUCCACCUCCAAAACUUUCUGGUGCUCCUCCACCUCCACCACCACCUCAAAAACUUUCUGGUGCUCCUCCACCUCCACCUCCACCUCCAAAACUUUCUGGUGCUCCUCCACCUCCGCCUCCGCCUCCAAAACUUUCUGGUGCUCCUCCACCUCCCCCUCCGCCUCCUAAACUUUCUGGUGCUCCUCCACCUCCACCUCCACCUCCACAAUCAAAUCGCGGUGCACCGGUUCCACCUCCUCCACCACCAAGACCUCCCAGUGUUGAGCUACCAAGUCAUGGUACUAAACCAACUAGACCUCCUCCACCUCCUCCACCGUCAAAGUCCUCUAAUGCUCACCCUCCGUCAAGUCAUGGUGCUACACCAAUGCCACCCCCUCCCCCCGGAUCAAGAGGGCCAAAUGUACCGCCACCACCUCCUCCUUCUGUUGGAAGAGGCAAAGCUUCUCUAGGGUCAACAACUCAAGGAAAAGGCCGUCUUGCUACUGGAGUUGUAAAUGCUCCAAAAAAAACCACUUUAAAACCAUUGCACUGGGUAAAAGUUACUCGAGCAAUGCAAGGCAGUUUGUGGGCUGAUUCACAAAAGCAGGAAAAUCAAUCAAGGGCCCCAGAAAUAGACAUCUCUGAACUUGAAAGUCUAUUCUCAGCAGCCUCUGCUUCUGAUGGAAGUGGUAGUAAAGGUGGAGGACGACGUGGUUCCAAUAUCAACAAACCGGAAAAAGUGCAACUGAUUGACCUGCGGAGAGCAUAUAAUUGUGAAAUAAUGCUCUCAAAAAUAAAGAUUCCCUUACCGGAUAUGAUAAAUUCAGUUCUUGCAUUGGAUUCUUCUGCUCUUGAUAUUGACCAGGUUGAGAAUCUCAUCAAGUUUUGUCCUACCAGGGAAGAGAUGGAAACGUUGAAGAAUUAUACAGGUGACAGACAAAUGCUAGGAAAGUGUGAGCAGUUUUUUCUCGAGCUAAUGAAGGUCCCACGAAUAGAGUCCAAGUUACGAGUGUUUGCUUUCAAAAUAACCUUUUCUAGUCAGGUGAAUGAUUUGAGAUACAACUUGAACACAAUAAAUGAUGCUACAAGAGAGCAACAGGUCAAAGAAUCUGCAAAAUUGCGUCAGAUAAUGCAAACAAUUCUGACACUGGGAAAUGCGUUAAACCAGGGCACUGCUCGAGGCUCUGCUAUAGGUUUUAAGUUGGACAGCCUCCUUAAAUUGUCUGACACUCGGGCAAGAAACAACAAAAUGACUUUGAUGCAUUAUUUGUGUAAGCUCAUUGCAGAAAAAAUGGCGGAAUUACUUGAUUUUGAUAAGGACCUUGUUCAUUUAGAAGCUGCCUCUAAGAUUCAAUUGAAAGCAUUGGCUGAGGAAAUGCAAGCAGUGAGUAAAGGUCUUGAAAAGAUGGAGCAAGAGCUAACUGCUUCAGAAAAUGACGGUGCUAUCUCUAUUGGUUUCCAGAAGGUGCUGAAGAUUUUUCUUGAUACGGCUGAAGCUGAAGUAAGGGCACUUAUUUCCUUAUAUUCUGAAGUGGGGAGAAACGCAGAUUCGCUAUCCCAGUACUUCGGCGAGGAUCCAGCUCGGUGCCCCUUUGAGCAAGUGACUCAAAUUUUGAUAGUCUUUGUUAAGAUGUUCAAGAAGUCUCGAGAAGAAAACGAAAGACAGGCUGAUGCUGAAAAGAGAAAAAUAGAGAAGGAAGCCAUGAAAGAACGAAGUUCAGUUAAGGCAAAGUGAGACCAUAUUAUGUUUUUAGUAGAAGGUAGUGCCAGACAAGCCUAAUUGGUUAAUUCGGUCGAAUACCUGAAGAGGUGCGAAUGUGAAAAUCAGAUGUAUGAUUCAUAGACUUCCUUCACGCUGAGCACAAGGCAAUUUUGUUCCCAGGUUGGCUCUUCGCCCUCCUGCGCUGCCAUUUCUUUCAUCAAUAUUGUGCUUUGUAAAUACGUAGCGAAUACCGACUCAUGGAGUGGUUGCCUUUUGACAACGAGGUUAGAGCUCUGUUGAUCUCAGCUUGACAUUGUCAUUAUGGUAACAAAACUUCACAGAUAGCAACAUAUGGAUAUAUAUCAAUUGUUGAAGAUAGUUGAAAUAGGGCUAUGACCUUUGUACAGGUAGAUAUCAUUGCUAUAUUUUGGUAGUUUUCUUGACUCGUGGUGGCUUCUGCUGCACAUUUAUUGUAAAGAAAAGGUCACAAUUUCUAGUUAAAAUGGUGUUUCAUUAGUUCAUGUGGAAAA
This is a non-coding RNA of Cucurbita pepo subsp. pepo (vegetable marrow), 4535 nucleotides long. Lineage: Eukaryota; Viridiplantae; Streptophyta; Magnoliopsida; Cucurbitales; Cucurbitaceae. The record is from RefSeq and is a predicted model, not a curated record.